GCCGAGAUAGCUCAGCUGGUAGAGCAACGGUUUUGUAAACCGUCGGUCGCUGGUUCGAAUCCAGUUCUCGGCUCCA
Molecule: transfer RNA, 76 nt
Filed under: Candidatus Komeilibacteria bacterium RIFOXYC1_FULL_37_11
Lineage: Bacteria; Candidatus Komeiliibacteriota
Also listed under: 2 other names
Description: tRNA-Thr
Rfam family: tRNA
About the family: Transfer RNA (tRNA) molecules are approximately 80 nucleotides in length. Their secondary structure includes four short double-helical elements and three loops (D, anti-codon, and T loops). Further hydrogen bonds mediate the characteristic L-shaped molecular structure. tRNAs have two regions of fundamental functional importance: the anti-codon, which is responsible for specific mRNA codon recognition, and the 3' end, to which the tRNAs corresponding amino acid is attached (by aminoacyl-tRNA synthetases). tRNAs cope with the degeneracy of the genetic code in two manners: having more than one tRNA (with a specific anti-codon) for a particular amino acid; and 'wobble' base-pairing, i.e. permitting non-standard base-pairing at the 3rd anti-codon position.
Source: RNAcentral